AGUAAAGUAGGAGGACAAGCAAUGACUCUGGGUGAGCUGAAAGAUUUCCAUCCGGAAGAGGGAAUGAUCCUUGCAAAUACCACUUCAGUUGGAAUGAAACCAAGAAUUGAUGAUACCCCACUUCCCAAGGAAGCUCUGAAACACUACUCCUUGGUCUUUGAUGCAAUUUACACACCAAAAUUGACCAGGCUCUUAAGAGAAGCACAGGAAUCUGGGGCCACUAUAGUUUACGGGACCGAGAUGUUCAUCAAUCAAGCAUUUGUACAGUUCGAAAGAUUCACUGGUUUGCCAGCACCAAAACAACUAAUUAGGGAUGUGUUGGCAAGAAAUACAUAGAAGAAAAUUUUUCCAAGUGAAUCUCUUCUUGCAGCUGAAUCUAUAUAUNUUUGCAAUCAGCUGUUCAAUUAUUUUGCUGUAUCAAUAAAUUUCCUUUUGAUGGACAUCUC
This 446-nucleotide unclassified non-coding RNA is filed under the name Hevea brasiliensis (rubber tree). The record is from RNAcentral. Lineage: Eukaryota; Viridiplantae; Streptophyta; Magnoliopsida; Malpighiales; Euphorbiaceae.